RNAcentral lists this ribosomal RNA (177 nucleotides) under Nannizziopsis vriesii. Its description in RNAcentral is "5.8S ribosomal RNA". The stretch from base 2 to 155 matches the Rfam family "5.8S ribosomal RNA". From Rfam's summary of the family: 5.8S ribosomal RNA (5.8S rRNA) is a component of the large subunit of the eukaryotic ribosome. It is transcribed by RNA polymerase I as part of the 45S precursor that also contains 18S and 28S rRNA. The record is from RNAcentral. Lineage: Eukaryota; Fungi; Ascomycota; Eurotiomycetes; Onygenales; Nannizziopsiaceae.
AAACUUUCAACAAUGGAUCUCUUGGUUCCCGCAUCGAUGAAGAACGCAGCGAAAUGCGAUAACUAAUGUGAAUUGCAGAAUUCCGUGAAUCAUCGAGUCUUUGAACGCACAUUGCGCCCCUCGGUAUUCCGGGGGGCAUGCCUGUCCGAGCGUCAUUGCACCCCUCAAGCACGGCUU